RNAcentral lists this transfer RNA (68 nucleotides) under Bos taurus (domestic cattle). It matches the Rfam family "tRNA". From Rfam's summary of the family: Transfer RNA (tRNA) molecules are approximately 80 nucleotides in length. The record is from Rfam by way of RNAcentral. Lineage: Eukaryota; Metazoa; Chordata; Mammalia; Artiodactyla; Bovidae. RNAcentral also lists the same sequence under 2 other names.
GCCUGGCUAGCUCAGUCAGCAUGAGACUCUUAAUCUCAGGGUCAUGGGUUCAAGCCCCAUUUUGGGCU